AGCAGCCGCGGUAAUUCCAGCUCCAAUAGCGUAUAUUAAAGUUGUUGCAGUUAAAAGCUCGUAGUUGAAUUUCGGGAUCAAUUAAUCGGUCGUGCCUAUGGUAUGUACUGAUUUUAUUGGUUUCUCCCUUCUGACGAACCAUGAUGUCAUUAAUUUGGUGUCGUGAAGAAUCAGGACUGUUACUUU
This 186-nucleotide unclassified non-coding RNA is filed under the name uncultured Glomus. RNAcentral's name for it is "sequence contains 18S rRNA gene". It matches the Rfam family "Eukaryotic small subunit ribosomal RNA", at positions 569 to 758 of the family's 1831-position model. Lineage: Eukaryota; Fungi; Glomeromycota; Glomeromycetes; Glomerales; Glomeraceae. The record is from RNAcentral.